CUUCUGCAAAAGUUUGGUGAUUUUUCCAAGGGGGCCGAUCAGAGGAUCUACUCAACUGAGGCCCUCGGGAGUUUAUUGCAAGCCCGGUUCCACCAUACUAUAAUGCAAGGCUGGUUUUUAUUUCUUCAUUUAUUCUUUUUGAGACUCCCUGCGCCA
This is a long non-coding RNA of Triticum aestivum (bread wheat), 156 nucleotides long. RefSeq lists it as uncharacterized. The transcript is spliced from 3 exons. Lineage: Eukaryota; Viridiplantae; Streptophyta; Magnoliopsida; Poales; Poaceae. The record is from RefSeq and is a predicted model, not a curated record.